Molecule: ribosomal RNA, 614 nt
Filed under: Pogonoloma macrorhizum
Lineage: Eukaryota; Fungi; Basidiomycota; Agaricomycetes; Agaricales; Pseudoclitocybaceae
Description: Porpoloma macrorhizum partial large subunit ribosomal RNA
Rfam family: Eukaryotic large subunit ribosomal RNA
Source: RNAcentral
GAAAAGAAACUAACAAGGAUUCCCCUAGUAACUGCGAGUGAAGCGGGAAAAGCUCAAAUUUAAAAUCUGGCAGCCUCUGGUUGUCCGAGUUGUAAUCUAGAGAAGUGUUAUCCGCGCUGGACCGUGUAUAAGUCUCCUGGAAUGGAGCGUCAUAGAGGGUGAGAAUCCCGUCUUUGACACGGACUACCAGGGCUUUGUGAUGCGCUCUCGAAGAGUCGAGUUGUUUGGGAAUGCAGCUCAAAAUGGGUGGUAAAUUCCAUCUAAAGCUAAAUAUUGGCGAGAGACCGAUAGCGAACAAGUACCGUGAGGGAAAGAUGAAAAGAACUUUGGAAAGAGAGUUAAACAGUACGUGAAAUUGUUGAAAGGGAAACGCUUGAAGUCAGUCGCGUUGGCCAGGGAUCAACCUUGCUCUUGCAGGGCGUACUUCCUGGUUGACGGGUCAGCAUCAAUUUUGACCGUUGGAUAAAGAUUAGGGGAAUGUGGCAUCUUCGGGUGUGUUAUAGCCUCUGAUCGCAUACGACGGUUGGGAUUGAGGAACUCAGCACGCCGCAAGGCCGGGUACUUGUACCACGUUCGUGCUUAGGAUGCUGGCAUAAUGGCUUUAAUCGACCCGU